UUGGUGGGCCUAAAUGGACUCUAUUAAGCGGCACAUAGUUAGCCGGGGCCUGGUAGUCCACGCCGUAAACGAUGAGUGCUAAGUGUUAGAGGGUUUCCGCCCUUUAGUGCUGCAGCUAACGCAUUAAGCACUCCGCCUGGGAAGUACGGUCGCAAGAUUAAAACUCAAAGAAAUUGACGGGGGCCUGCACAAGCGGUGGAGUAUGUGGCUUAAUUCGAUGCAACGCGAAGAACCUUACCUGGCCUUGACAUGCAAGUAGUAGAACCAUGAAAGUGGGACGAUCCCGCAAGGGAAGCUUGCACAGGUGCUGCAUGGCUGUCGUCAGCUCGUGUCGUGAGAUGUUGGGUUAAGUCCCGCAACGAGCGCAACCCUUGUGUCCUGUUGCCACUCCUUCGAGAGAAGGAGCACUCUGGACAGACUGCCUCGCUUAAACGAGGAGGAAGGUGGGGAUGACGUCAAGUCAGUAUGGCCCUUACGGCCAGGGCUGCACACGUACUACAAUGCAUGGCACAAAGGGACGCUAGACCGUCAGGUGGA
RNAcentral lists this ribosomal RNA (537 nucleotides) under uncultured bacterium. RNAcentral's name for it is "SSU rRNA". It matches the Rfam family "Bacterial small subunit ribosomal RNA", at positions 726 to 1266 of the family's 1533-position model. The record is from RNAcentral.